UGCAGGAUGGUGGAGGUAGUUCCAUGUCGGGCUCAUAACCCGAAGACCCCAGUGCGACUCUGGGUCCUGCCAC
This 73-nucleotide transfer RNA is filed under the name Streptomyces phage Wofford. Its description in RNAcentral is "tRNA-Met". It matches the Rfam family "tRNA". From Rfam's summary of the family: Transfer RNA (tRNA) molecules are approximately 80 nucleotides in length. Their secondary structure includes four short double-helical elements and three loops (D, anti-codon, and T loops). RNAcentral also lists the same sequence under 2 other names. Lineage: Duplodnaviria; Heunggongvirae; Uroviricota; Caudoviricetes; Stanwilliamsviridae. The record is from RNAcentral.